GGAUGUGACCCUUCCUGGAAGGAUUCCUGCUGUCUUUGAGCUGGUUGGAGGAGAGGAUCCACCUGAGCUGAGGUGGGCAGAAGGCUCUUGGCCCCUGUGCACACACAGGAGAUACCAAGACCAGAAACCUUUCCUCCCAAAUGAAUGCCCUGACCACUGAGAUAGAGAAUUUCCUAGGUAUGAUACCUUCUGGGUGCAGCUGAUGGAGUGGGUACCAAGCAGCACACCCUGCUCGCUCCACACCAACCUGCUUUCCCUUCAUCCCUUCAAGUGUGCUGCAAUCAGCUGAUCAUCACUCAGUACCUGUAGCUAACCAGCAGCGCUUGAGCUACAUGAAAAGCAGGCAGUUAAGGUGCAAUCUCAUGCCAGGACCACAUCAUAGUUUCAGAAGAAGCUUCUGAGUCCACAGGCUGCCACAGUGUUUCUACUGAAUUUCAGAGUUUUAGUUCCAACCGCCACUGGGCAGCCAAAAUGUUAGUGUAACUCCUUUUGGAUUCAACAGUCUACCUAGUGGCUUAACCUGCUACUGAAGGUCGGGGGAAUAAUUUAUCUUCCACAACACCUAGACAUCACCAGCUAUACUUCUGGAGAUAUCCUGGAAAAUGAAACUGCGAAAACAUUCCAAGAGCUUCAGUGGGGUUAUUGUCUAUGACAAGAUCCUCUUGGACAAUACACAGACCUUCGUGCAGGUAUUGCUCUAAUACCCAAUAAAAAUCAAAGCUCCCUCUCAGGAACACUCUGCUCGCUGUGCACAGUAUUUUAGAUGGACUGGUAAUAUGUGGAAUCAGCACUAUCAGUGACGAAAACUAAUUCACGGCUUCUUACCCACAUUCUCAGUUUAAGCAUUCAUUGUUCUUUUGAAUGUGUUACUUUCUUACUUUUGAAGGAAGGUUUCUCAUGUACCAUACAGAACACCUAGCCAUGGAAGAUGCUAAUCACUUUUCGGAUGAAACAGUUGCCUUUAAAUCAACUCUGCUUGAAAAACUCCUGCAAGGGACCUUGCUGGAAAUCAUCAAACUCACUGUCCUGGAGAAGAAUCCCGAUCCUUGUCAGCCAUGGCUACAGUCCCACAGAAAAUGAGGGAAAACACAGAUGAAUUCAGCUUAGAAGUAGUAUGGGAAUUACUUGAUCUUAUGUCAGAGAUGGCCAUUGAUGUGCUUUAAAUAGGAAUAGACAGAAAGCUUCUGUAUUGAGGAAAAUCAAUCUUUUUGUCUUCAGAUGACAUCUUUUCAAUUUAAGACUGUACAUACUCUGAGAAGUCAAAUCUGUGGUCCUUGAAAAUGCUAUGCUUAUUUUGAAAGAAAAGGAUAGAGAUCUGGGUUUUUUUCCCCUGAAAAUGUUAAGCUUUAAUACAAACAAAGCUAGCAAAUUCAUCUACACUUGGAUCCUGAAUCUAGACAAUUUUCUGGAUUUUCUGUGUGCUGCUGGCUAAAAGUCAACACAAGUAAAAUGAGAGAAAAAAAAAAGGGAUACGUGAGCUGAAACAUCUUGCUACAAAUGCUUGCUUUCCUGGAUGACCCUAGUCUGGAUAGAUAAAGGCUCUACUCUUUACACACCAACUACACAUGAUUCAAACAAGAAUCUAAUGCACAGACAGACUGUUUAGUACUGAGGCACAUCUUCAGAUUAUUUCCAGAUAGGAAUAUAAAUAUGUGUAGCUAAAAGACUCAGUGCUUGCUGUUCCUAUCUGCUGCAUGCAAUAUUAUAUUGCCUUGCAAAUCUGUCUAUUCUAAUAAAUCAGCCUGCAGAUACGGAGCAGGAGGGUCUGCUUUUGUGUGCAAAAGGCUUCUAAAGAGACAAUCAGCACGCCUGUGCGGAGACACCGCCUAUGCCGCAGACUGGAGCCCCACUGGGAAAAGUGAGUGAGUGCCUGAACGAAGGAAGGAAUGAAAGGCUGCCCCUCAGGUGGGCUCCCUUUGCCUGCAAUGAGGAGCUGUGGUUGCGUGACUCACUGGCUGGCCGUCACGAGAAUGUCUGAGAGCAGGACGAUGUCACAGGCAUGCUGCAGACACACCACAAGCCAUGCACGGUUUAGACUCAUCUGCUGCUGCUUUGGGGAAAAAUGGUAAACUAUGACGGCAAGCUUAAAACAAUUAUGGAGAAUUAUUUUAAACACAGUUGUUAAGGGAGGGUAAAAAUUAAUAAUUUUCAUAAUCAUCCUUUUUUUAGGCUCCGUGUCCUGAGUCCAACAGGUGAACACUGCAAAAUUGACUCUAACCAACAGGAAAAGAAAAAGGGAUCGGGUGAUGUCACAGACUCUGGGGCAGGUUAAAGCCAUUGCACAAAAUACUCUAGCAUAAUCUAUACACAAGCUUCAACCCAGGAAAGUUAGUAGGAAGUCUUUCCAUUGAUUUCAGCUCACUGAGAUUGAUGCCCUUGAGAAACACAGCAUAUCUACCAGUUUAUGCCCCUGCUCCACCCCUUUGUGGAGAAUUGUGGUCCAUUGCACACAAUUUAGGAUCACAGGCCUUGCUCAGAACUGCUGGGUGGGUCCUUCCUUCAUUCUUUUCUCCUUGAAGACAACUCUGAAGCAGGGCUUCUUGAUGCUGUCUCUUUGCACAGGAAUGCAACAACAUCUGAACUACUGCUGGGCAUACUCAGAAAAAAAGCCCUUGACUAGGAAUCAGAUGUGAAGCUAGACGGGAUAAGGACAAAUCAAAUCACUGCCUUCUUCUGACCUCCACAUGCCUGUUUUGCUCAGGAUCUCGCAGGCUUUUUGGGACAGCUACAGUUCAUCUACUUUGAAAGCAGCACAUUUUUAUUUUCCUGGUUACAAACCAUGUUUUAAUUAUCUGCUGUUGUCAGCUGCUACCAGGCCCUUCUUGGCUAAGCCCCUUUGCUAUAAGGCCAGACUGAAUUUCUGUUCUCUAAAAUACAGGUAAGGCUGUCUAUGGUCCUCUUAUGUUACAGCCUGCCUGGUGGCAAGAUCAGUUCAGACUGUGCCUGUGUCAUGUUUUUGUGGGGUCUGCUUCAUCCCUUCUGGCAUGUCCUAGCUCUUCCAGUCCUCAAGCUCCUUACCACCUGCAAUCUACACCAGGAAGCCUUGUACAUCAUUGCCCUGCAGGCUUACUUUCUUGAAACUGGUUUCUGUCUCACCCCAAAUGGGCACAAGCUGUACCUAUUCCCACCCGAGGCUGCUUGUUAGGCAUAAUGCCACACCUCCUCACAGACUCACAUGAUAACUGAGGGUGGAGGGGACACUCAGAAGCCCUCUUGCUCCUUGCUCCGGCCAGGGUGAGCAUUCAAGCAUUCUGAUGCUAAACACAGACAGACACGCUGCAGACUGACAUUAAAUUUCUCUGCAGACACCUUUUGGUCCUGAAGAAAAGGUGAUGGAAAUGAAAGCCCAGCAUUUUUCUCCCUACCUACUUUAAAAGAAAAAAAAAAGCUUGUAAUUUUCAUUUCAUCGCCUUCCACCGCAGACCUUGAAAGAGCAGCAGACAAUGGACCUAUACACAUACUCCCAAACUCUAACAUUGAUGUGGCUGGAAGCUGCCCCAAAUACAUCAUUAGAAGUAGUAUUCUGCCUUUUUUUUUCCUGCCUACUCCCGAGAGCCAGGAUCUGCUGCUCUGUGUGCCCAUCUGGUCUUUAAACAAUUGUUUACCCUGACAAUCAAGCUUUGGCAUUAGUUCCUAGCAUUGAAGUCUAAGCAGGGCUGAGUUUUGCUCUUUGUGACAUGGAGAGCACAGCAAAAGCAGACAGCAGAGACCUAAGCUACCCACCCAGCAUCAUCCUAGACUGUCAGAGGAGAAGACCAAGUACAGACAAGAGGAUGAAAACAUUACCUUUCAGGUUAUUAAAUGCUGCAAGAGUAAUCAUGGCUGGUGUUCCCGUAAGCCGUGGCUCUUCUUUCUAUAGUCUCACACCACUUCCGUCUGCUUCUCUUCCACUUACGCUGGUGGGCUGGUCUGCCUGGAUUAUGUAUAAUUAUGAAAUCUUUAAGACGUUCUUUGAUGCUAAUUCAAGUCAAGCAAGGCUUUAUUUUACAUGGAUGUUUUUUUCUUUCAGCUUUCAUAGGUCUGAGCAGCAUAGUGUAUAAUAGUGAAAAAUCAGGAACCACCGCUGAAAUUUACUUUUGUAGAGGUUAGUAUUCUUGGCAUAUGACAUAGCCAUGCUGCAAGAGUUUUCAAAUAUUAGUUGUAAUAUUUACUUUGCUUUUGUGAAGAAUGUGUUAGUUUAAACAUGUCUAAGGUAAAGUGAAAUAAUUGUGUUUUCUCAUUUUUGUGGUCCUUUCCACCUACUUUCCUCUACAGUUUGUUUGUUUUCAGUGUACACAGGAUUGUACAAAGAAGCAAACAAUUACAAGGAAUAGUGUAAUUAAAAAGUUCAAUGGAUAUUUUAACUGUUUUGUAGGCAAGAUAUAUUUAUUUCCUUGAGGGGAAGAAAAAUUGCAACAGCACUGUGUGGAAAUUUUCAUAUCUUGAAAAAAAAUCUUGUAUUUCUGAAUCAGUUAUUUCGUGUAUGUGAGGAUAACUGUGAAACUGCCAAAUAUUCUAGUAAAAAAUUCUGCUAGUUCAGGAAAAUGGAAUUCAAGACUAUGCAAAUCCACACAGCUUCUUUUACUAUGACAGUUAUGUCAGCAACUUGAAAAGAAGCCAACUCCUACUUGCCUUGAGCAUGUAUUUUGUUGGGUAUGGUGGUGGUCAACAGUGAUAGACUGGCAUUAGACUUUUGCGAAAUGGAUCCAACUUUCAGUGUGACUAAUGCAGAAAAAAAAAAGUCCUUAUGGCAAUCUCUUUUGGUAGUAGUCCAAGGAGGAGUAAUGACCGCUACUCCAGCUAUCAUUAGUCUGUCUUCUUUUCCAAUCCAGACUUGUAGCUCUGGACUAUCUGCGCGCUAAUCUAUUUCAGAUGCCGAGUGCCACACAGGACCCGUAUUGCUCCAAGACAGGAAUUCAUGUCGAGUCCAAGCUCUAAGUCUCAUCAUAAAAGUUCCUUUGUCCCUGAAAAGCUAGUCUGCUUCAGGACUGUGUGAAUCUCAGUCAGAAAAAACGGUAUGAUUCAGUGCUUAACGCAACAGAGCCCUGACCACAGUGGCAGUAACAUGCAUUGGGAAAUGAUGAUUUCUUUCAGAGUUGGUACUGAGGAAGGUGCUACAAAGAUGCAUUCAUGGUAGUAAACCCAAGGAGGGGGAGGCAGAAGAUUGUUUACCCAAGGUAAUGUAGUGUGAAUCUGGAAACACUGAGACAUGCCAGGGUUGACCAUUAUGAAUCCUCAAGUCACAAAGGAGGGACAACAUUAGCGAAUGGGUUUGAAAAAGCUAAGCCACUUCCUUCCAAGCCUCACACAUCAGGGCUUGUCUUUUUGUGAAACAUUAUUAAUGAUAUUUAUACUGUGGUAACACUCAGGAACGGUUGAGGCCUCAGGAUAUUAGUUACAAACUGUAGAUAAUUACAGUUUCUGCCUGAAGGAACAAACAACAGUUGUGGUUGGAAGGUACAGUUCUGUUCAAAAAAUACCACGUAGAAAUUACAUUGACAUGGUCUUACUUUGCAAAUCUAUUUCAUAUAUGUAUUCAGGCACGCGUGCUAUAUACUUUAGUGACAAAAUAAAGGCCAGUUAUGUAUUUUCCCUACUCUGAUGACAAUGAGACUAAGCUGUUUUCCUUUGUUCAAAAGAAAUACCUUCUAAAUUAGUCAUGUUACCUGUACAAAGUUGUGGCUAAAGGUAUAUUUUAACCUGCAA
Molecule: long non-coding RNA, 5685 nt
Organism: Cuculus canorus (common cuckoo)
Lineage: Eukaryota; Metazoa; Chordata; Aves; Cuculiformes; Cuculidae
Exons: 7
Source: RefSeq, a predicted model, not a curated record